AACGCACCUUGCGCCCCUUGGCUAUUCCGAGGGGCAUGCCUGUUUGAGUAUCAUGAACACCUCAACUCUUGUGGUUCGCCAUGAAGAGCUUGGACUUGGGGGCUUGCUGGCGCACAGCCGGCUCCUCUCAAAUGAAUUAGCCUGCCAGUGUUUGGUGGCGUCACGGGUGUGAUAACUAUUUACGCUUGUGGUUGCCUGCCAGGUAACCUUCGGUGACGGAGGUUCGCUGGAGCUUAUAAACGUCUUUCCUUGGUGAAGACAGCUUUUUGAACGUUCGAUCUCAAAUCAGGUAGGACUACCCGCUGAACUUAA
Molecule: non-coding RNA, 312 nt
Filed under: Heterobasidion sp.
Lineage: Eukaryota; Fungi; Basidiomycota; Agaricomycetes; Russulales; Bondarzewiaceae
Also listed under: 2 other names
Source: RNAcentral